GGUAGCGUGUCCGAGCGGCCUAAGGAGCACGCCUCGAAAGCGUGUGUGGGUGAAAAUCCACCGUGGGUUCAAAUCCCACCGUUACCGCCA
RNAcentral lists this transfer RNA (90 nucleotides) under Cellulomonas sp. RNAcentral describes it as "tRNA-Ser". It matches the Rfam family "tRNA". From Rfam's summary of the family: Transfer RNA (tRNA) molecules are approximately 80 nucleotides in length. Their secondary structure includes four short double-helical elements and three loops (D, anti-codon, and T loops). Further hydrogen bonds mediate the characteristic L-shaped molecular structure. tRNAs have two regions of fundamental functional importance: the anti-codon, which is responsible for specific mRNA codon recognition, and the 3' end, to which the tRNAs corresponding amino acid is attached (by aminoacyl-tRNA synthetases). tRNAs cope with the degeneracy of the genetic code in two manners: having more than one tRNA (with a specific anti-codon) for a particular amino acid; and 'wobble' base-pairing, i.e. permitting non-standard base-pairing at the 3rd anti-codon position. RNAcentral also lists the same sequence under 2 other names. The record is from RNAcentral. Lineage: Bacteria; Bacillati; Actinomycetota; Actinomycetes; Micrococcales; Cellulomonadaceae.